RNAcentral lists this ribosomal RNA (451 nucleotides) under uncultured Fibrobacter sp. Its description in RNAcentral is "bacterial SSU rRNA". It matches the Rfam family "Bacterial small subunit ribosomal RNA", at positions 341 to 792 of the family's 1533-position model. The record is from RNAcentral. Lineage: Bacteria; Pseudomonadati; Fibrobacterota; Fibrobacteria; Fibrobacterales; Fibrobacteraceae.
ACGGGAGGCAGCAGUAGGGAAUAUUGCACAAUGGGGGAGACCCUGAUGCAGCAACGCCACGUGUGGGAAGACGCAUUUCGGUGUGUAAACCACUGUCGUGAGGGAAUAAGGCAUCGUUUCGGCGAUGUUGAAUGUACCUCGAAAGGAAGCACCGGCAAACUUCGUGCCAGCAGCCGCGGUAAUACGAGGGGUGCAAGCGUUGUUCGGAAUCACUGGGCGUAAAGGGAGCGCAGGCGGAGAUGCAAGCGGACUGUACAAUACCGGGGCCCAACCCCGGACCUGCAGUCCGGACUGCACCUCUUGGAUAGUUCAGGGGCAAGCGGAAUUCCUGGUGUAGCGGUGGAAUGCGUAGAGAUCAGGAAGAACACCGAUGGCGAAGGCGGCUUGCUGGGGACUAAUCGACGCUCAUGCUCGAAAGUGCGGGUAGCAAACAGGAUUAGAUACCCUGGUA